CCUUAGAGUUUGAUCCUGGCUCAGGAUGAACGCUAGCUACAGGCUUAACACAUGCAAGUCGAGGGGAAACGACAUCGAAAGCUUGCUUUUGAUGGGCGUCGACCGGCGCACGGGUGAGUAACGCGUAUCCAACCUGCCCAUCACUUGGGGAUAACCUUGCGAAAGUAAGACUAAUACCCAAUGAUAUCUCUAGAAGACAUCUGAAGGAGAUUAAAGAUUCAUCGGUGAUGGAUGGGGAUGCGUCUGAUUAGCUUGCUGGCGGGGUAACGGCCCACCAAGGCGACGAUCAGUAGGGGUUCUGAGAGGAAGGUCCCCCACAUUGGAACUGAGACACGGUCCAAACUCCUACGGGAGGCAGCAGUGAGGAAUAUUGGUCAAUGGGCGAGAGCCUGAACCAGCCAAGUAGGGUGCAGGAUGACGGCCCUAUGGGUUGUAAACUGCUUUUAUAAGGGAAUAAAGUGAGCCUCGUGAGGCUUUUUGUAUGUACCCUAUGAAUAAGCAUCGGCUAACUCCGUGCCAGCAGCCGCGGUAAUACGGAGGAUGCGAGCGUUAUCCGGAUUUAUUGGGUUUAAAGGGUGCGUAGGUUGUUUUUUAAGUCAGCGGUGAAAGUUUGUGGCUUAACCAUAAAAUUGCCGUUGAAACUGGGGAACUUGAGUGUGUUUGAGAUAGGCGGAAUGCGUGGUGUAGCGGUGAAAUGCAUAGAUAUCACGCAGAACUCCAAUUGCGAAGGCAGCUUACUAAACCAUAACUGACACUGAAGCACGAAAGCGUGGGGAUCAAACAGGAUUAGAUACCCUGGUAGUCCACGCAGUAAACGAUGAUUACUAGGAGUUUGCGAUAGACAGUAAGCUCUACAGCGAAAGCGUUAAGUAAUCCACCUGGGGAGUACGCCGGCAACGGUGAAACUCAAAGGAACUGACGGGGGCCCGCACAAGCGGAGGAACAUGUGGUUUAAUUCGAUGAUACGCGAGGAACCUUACCCGGGUUUGAACGUAGUUUGACAGGGGUGGAAACACUUUUUCUAGCAAUAGCAAAUUACGAGGUGCUGCAUGGUUGUCGUCAGCUCGUGCCGUGAGGUGUCGGCUUAAGUGCCAUAACGAGCGCAACCCUUAUCACUAGUUACUAACAGGUAUAGCUGAGGACUCUGGUGAGACUGCCAGCGUAAGCUGUGAGGAAGGUGGGGAUGACGUCAAAUCAGCACGGCCCUUACAUCCGGGGCGACACACGUGUUACAAUGGCAUGGACAAAGGGCAGCUACCUGGCGACAGGAUGCUAAUCUCCAAACCAUGUCUCAGUUCGGAUCGGAGUCUGCAACUCGACUCCGUGAAGCUGGAUUCGCUAGUAAUCGCGCAUCAGCCAUGGCGCGGUGAAUACGUUCCCGGGCCUUGCACACACCGCCCGUCAAG
This 1406-nucleotide ribosomal RNA is filed under the name uncultured bacterium. RNAcentral's name for it is "bacterial SSU rRNA". It matches the Rfam family "Bacterial small subunit ribosomal RNA". The record is from RNAcentral.